Molecule: long non-coding RNA, 554 nt
Filed under: Ursus thibetanus thibetanus
Lineage: Eukaryota; Metazoa; Chordata; Mammalia; Carnivora; Ursidae
Description: lncRNA (ENSUTTG00000012622.1)
Source: RNAcentral
GCUCCAGCCUCUGCAGUCAGCAGCUAGCUGAUGCCUUGUUCUACGAUGGCAUGUAAACUUUCAAAUAUACAUUCCCAAUACAAGUUGGAUUCCAUAUUAGCAUUUCAACACUUAAAACAAAAUAUAGACCCAGAGUGCUCAGAAGUGUGUACGGAUACAAAAUUUUCAUUUUUUCCCCCAUAGAUUUCAUCAAAGGAGCCAGUGUUGCUGGGUAUUCUACUGCACCAGGGUUUCUCCUUGGCAGCGUGGACAGAAUUUCUACUGAUGAUGUUCAAAGCAAGAACGUGCCGUGUGCUCAGCUUCUGCAGUUCCUCCAAAGGAACAUCAUCAUUGCCGCCGCCUCGGUGGCAGGAGUCCUCGUGGUCACAGUGUUGCUGCUGCUGGCGUUGACCACAUGCAUCAGGAGGAAGCAGCUAUCACAUCCUCCGGCGAACAUGACAUAUAAUAUUUUUAUUCUGAGUGGGAAGACUUGGUGGCAAAAAUUUCAAGAAAAGAACCCCAGAAAACACAGCGAUAAACAGAAACAGUUGUUGAAGAGCAAGUCCUGUGUGUAG